GCCUUUGCUGGUGUGUGGCGAUUAGGCCUGGUGGAGCUGCCAUCAAUAAAUCAAGCGUGAUCAGGGCAGCACUGAGAAGUGAAGGAAUAUUUGGGAGGAUCAGAAGCUUGGUCCUGAUUUUGCCAUCAACAGGAACUUGAUGACUUCAAGGGAGUCCCCAAACCCUGGGUUUCUGUUUUCUCAACUCUAACAUGAGGGGCUAGAUGCAUCUGGUUUAGUUAGUCUCCAUGAUGGUUUAGUUCGUCUCCAUGAUCCUGUGAAUUUCAGAUGUUGAAAAUCUUUGGAAAAGCCCUGAAAGAUGAACAGUGGUCUCAAAUAGUCAAGACCCCCUGCUGGGAGGAGCUAUCCUGCUCUUUGGAAGAAAUGGGCAUGCCAGAUGC
RNAcentral lists this non-coding RNA (380 nucleotides) under Pan troglodytes (chimpanzee). The record is from RNAcentral. Lineage: Eukaryota; Metazoa; Chordata; Mammalia; Primates; Hominidae.